RNAcentral lists this transfer RNA (56 nucleotides) under Acanthosaura armata (armored pricklenape). RNAcentral's name for it is "tRNA-Arg". The record is from RNAcentral. Lineage: Eukaryota; Metazoa; Chordata; Lepidosauria; Squamata; Agamidae.
CAGAGAUUAGUUUACUAAAACAGCUACCUUCGAACUAGCAAUCUCAGAAUCACUGA